This 494-nucleotide ribosomal RNA is filed under the name uncultured bacterium. RNAcentral describes it as "partial 16S ribosomal RNA". It matches the Rfam family "Bacterial small subunit ribosomal RNA", at positions 28 to 507 of the family's 1533-position model. The record is from RNAcentral.
GACGAACGCUGGCGGCGUGCUUAACACAUGCAAGUCGAACGGUGAAGCGCCUUCCUUUUUGGUGGGUGUGGAUGAGUGGCGAACGGGUCAGUAACACGUGAGUAACCUGCCCCCUUCUUCUGGAUAACCGCAUGAAAGUGUGGCUAAUACGGGAUAUUCUGGGUCUGUCGCAUGAUGGGUCUGGGAAAGAUAUUGUUUCGGUGGGGGAUGGGCUCGCGGCCUAUCAGCUUGUUGGUGGGGUGAUGGCCUACCAAGGCGGUGACGGGUAGCCGGCCUGAGAGGGUGGACGGUCACACUGGGACUGAGACACGGCCCAGACUCCUACGGGAGGCAGCAGUGGGGAAUAUUGCACAAUGGGCGCAAGCCUGAUGCAGCGACGCCGCGUGAGGGAUGGAGGCCUUCGGGUUGUGAACCUCUUUCGCCAGUGAAGCAGGCCUGCCUCGUUUGUGGGUGGGUUGACGGUAGCUGGAUAAGAAGCGCCGGCUAACUACGUG